UACGGAGGGUGCAAGCGUUAAUCGGAAUUACUGGGCGUAAAGCGUGCGCAGGCGGUUUUGCAAGACAGAUGUGAAAUCCCCGGGCUUAACCUGGGAACUGCAUUUGUGACUGCAAGGCUAGAGUGUGUCAGAGGGAGGUGGAAUUCCGCGUGUAGCAGUGAAAUGCGUAGAGAUGCGGAGGAACACCGAUGGCGAAGGCAGCCUCCUGGGAUAACACUGACGCUCAUGCACGAAAGCGUGGGGAGCAAACAGG
RNAcentral lists this ribosomal RNA (253 nucleotides) under uncultured bacterium. RNAcentral describes it as "partial 16S ribosomal RNA". It matches the Rfam family "Bacterial small subunit ribosomal RNA", at positions 524 to 776 of the family's 1533-position model. The record is from RNAcentral.